UGUGUAUCAGUACAUGGCAUAUCAAUAAGCGGAGGAAAAGAAACUAACAAGGAUUCCCUUAGUAACGGCGAGUGAAGCGGGAAGAGCUCAAAUCUGAAAUCUUCAAGGUUCUACCUCGACGAAUUGUAGUUUAUAGAAGUGUUUUCUGUUAGUGGAGUUCGGUAAAAGUUCUUUGGAAUAGGACAUCAUAGAGGGUGAGAAUCCCGUAUUUGACCGUUACUUCCUAGCUGUGUGAUACACUUUCAAAGAGUCGGAUUGUUUGGGAAUGCAGUCCAAGAUGGGUGGUAAAUUUCAUCUAAAGCUAAAUAUUGGCGAGAGACCGAUAGCGAACAAGUACCGUGAGGGAAAGAUGAAAAGAACUUUGAAAAGAGAGUUAAACAGUACGUGAAAUUGUCAAAAGGGAAGCGUUUGACACCAGUGUUGUUUAGUUGAGAAAUCAAUGUGGCAAUAGGUUUUGAUUCUAGGUAGUGAUUGACCUUCAUCAGCUUGCUGCUUUACUUCUCUAAAUUAUUCGAAUGCACUUUUCAGUUAACAAGUCAACAUCAAUUUCUUUUGUUGUAAAAGGGUAAGAGGAAGGUGGCUUGCGCUUCGGCUCAAGUGUUUAUAGCCUUUUAUCUCUGCAAUCGGAGAGAUUGAGGUCUGCAGCGUAGAUCCUUCGGGGUUAGAUACAUUGGUGCUAAGCUAUAGCCUUGUAUAGACAACUUGUUGACUAUGCUCAGUCAUGUAGCUUACUCGCUGAUGCUAUUUUACCUACGCUUAGGAUGUUGACAGCAGUAUAGACUGU
RNAcentral lists this ribosomal RNA (784 nucleotides) under uncultured Neocallimastigales. RNAcentral's name for it is "partial large subunit ribosomal RNA". It matches the Rfam family "Eukaryotic large subunit ribosomal RNA", at positions 22 to 638 of the family's 3401-position model. Lineage: Eukaryota; Fungi; Neocallimastigomycota; Neocallimastigomycetes; Neocallimastigales. The record is from RNAcentral.